This 739-nucleotide ribosomal RNA is filed under the name uncultured organism. RNAcentral describes it as "bacterial SSU rRNA". It matches the Rfam family "Bacterial small subunit ribosomal RNA", at positions 44 to 779 of the family's 1533-position model. The record is from RNAcentral.
AGGCCUAACACAUGCAGUCGAACGGUAACAGUCCCGCUUGCGGGAGCUGACGAGUGGCGCACGGGUGCGUAACGCGUAUGCAAUCUACCUUCAACUGGGGGAUAGCCCGAAGAAAUUCGGAUUAAUACUCCAUAGUAUAAAGAAUUCGCAUGUUUUCUUUAUUAAAACUCCGGUGGUUGAAGAUGAGCAUGCGUCCUAUUAGUUAGUUGGUGAGGUAACGGCUCACCAAGACUCCGAUAGGUAGGGGGUCUGAGAGGAUGAUCCCCCACACUGGUACUGAGACACGGACCAGACUCCUACGGGAGGCAGCAGUGAGGAAUAUUGGACAAUGGACGAAAGUCUGAUCCAGCCAUGCCGCGUGCAGGAAGACUGCCCUCUGGGUUGUAAACUGCUUUUAUAAGGGAAUAAACCCCCCGAUUCUUCGGGGGCUGAAUGUACCUUACGAAUAAGGACCGGCUAACUCCGUGCCAGCAGCCGCGGUAAUACGGAGGGUCCAAGCGUUAUCCGGAUUUAUUGGGUUUAAAGGGUCCGUAGGUGGGAUCAUAAGUCAGCGGUGAAAUCUUUCGGCUUAACCGGAAAAUUGCCGUUGAUACUGUGGUUCUUGAGUAUGCUCGAUGUAGGCGGAAUAUGUCAUGUAGCGGUGAAAUGCAUAGAUAUGACAUAGAACACCGAUAGCGAAGGCAGCUUACAAGCGCAUAACUGACACUGAGGGACGAAAGCGUGGGGAGCGAACAGGAUU